AGUAAGAUCAUCUUUUAAUUUUUUAUACAAUUUUGACUCUUCGUGUUAUUUGAAAUUUUUUUAAUUAAUAUUUUCUUUCUUACUAGAUGAUAAAACAUAAAUAGUACUUUAUGCGUGACUAAUUUUUUAAAGUUUUUUAUAAAUUUUUAAAUAAGACGAAUGGUCAAAUGUUGGACACGUAAAAACGG
This 188-nucleotide microRNA precursor is filed under the name Oryza brachyantha (malo sina). RNAcentral's name for it is "MIR812 microRNA precursor family". It matches the Rfam family "MIR812 microRNA precursor family". Lineage: Eukaryota; Viridiplantae; Streptophyta; Magnoliopsida; Poales; Poaceae. The record is from Rfam by way of RNAcentral.